GAUGAACGCUGGCGGCGUGCCUAAUACAUGCAAGUCGAGCGAACAGACGAGGAGCUUGCUCCUCUGACGUUAGCGGCGGACGGGUGAGUAACACGUGGAUAACCUACCUAUAAGACUGGGAUAACUUAGGGAAACCGGAGCUAAUACAGGAUAAUAUAUUGAACCGCAUGGUUCAAUAGUGAAAGACGGUUUUGCUGUCACUUAUAGAUGGAUCCGCGCCGCAUUAGCUAGUUGGUAAGGUAACGGCUUACCAAGGCAACGAUGCGUAGCCGACCUGAGAGGGUGAUCGGCCACACUGGAACUGAGACACGGUCCAGACUCCUACGGGAGGCAGCAGUAGGGAAUCUUCCGCAAUGGGCGAAAGCCUGACGGAGCAACGCCGCGUGAGUGAUGAAGGUCUUCGGAUCGUAAAACUCUGUUAUUAGGGAAGAACAAAUGUGUAAGUAACUAUGCACGUCUUGACGGUACCUAAUCAGAAAGCCACGGCUAACCACGUG
RNAcentral lists this ribosomal RNA (497 nucleotides) under uncultured bacterium. RNAcentral describes it as "partial 16S ribosomal RNA". It matches the Rfam family "Bacterial small subunit ribosomal RNA", at positions 28 to 507 of the family's 1533-position model. The record is from RNAcentral.